Molecule: ribosomal RNA, 254 nt
Filed under: uncultured bacterium
Lineage: Bacteria
Description: partial 16S ribosomal RNA
Rfam family: Bacterial small subunit ribosomal RNA
Source: RNAcentral
UACGGGGGGAGCAAGCGUUGUUCGGAUUUACUGGGCGUAAAGGGCGCGUAGGCGGUCAGCACAAGUCAGUUGUGAAAUCUCCGGGCUUAACUCGGAAAGGUCAACUGAUACUGUGCGACUAGAGUGCAGAAGGGGCAACUGGAAUUCUCGGUGUAGCGGUGAAAUGCGUAGAUAUCGAGAGGAACACCUGCGGCGAAGGCGGGUUGCUGGGCUGACACUGACGCUGAUGCGUGAAAGCCAGGGGAGCGAACGGG